GGUUUAAUUCGAAGCAACGCGAAGAACCUUACCAGGUCUUGACAUCGAUCUAAAAGGGAUGGAGACAUCCUCAUAGCUAUAGAGAAGACAGGUGGUGCAUGGUUGUCGUCAGCUCGUGUCGUGAGAUGUUGGGUUAAGUCCCGCAACGAGCGCAACCCCUGUCGCCAGUUACCAUCAUUAAGUUGGGGACUCUGGCGAGACUGCCUCUGCAAGGAGGAGG
This 220-nucleotide ribosomal RNA is filed under the name uncultured bacterium. Its description in RNAcentral is "partial 16S ribosomal RNA". It matches the Rfam family "Bacterial small subunit ribosomal RNA", at positions 943 to 1169 of the family's 1533-position model. The record is from RNAcentral.